RNAcentral lists this ribosomal RNA (387 nucleotides) under Triticum aestivum (bread wheat). RNAcentral describes it as "partial small subunit ribosomal RNA". The record is from RNAcentral. Lineage: Eukaryota; Viridiplantae; Streptophyta; Magnoliopsida; Poales; Poaceae.
AUGGCUCCCGCGGCAGUCGUUGGUGAAGCAAGUGGUAAGAUAACGACGACGGGUGAAGUUUCAGAAGAAAAAAAAAGACGACGGGUGGCACUGAGCAGCGUAGGGGCGAUGUCACUGAGGACGGCCAUGAAGCCGGAGGCGUGGACCACGACCGGCGAGGAGGGUGAAGAGCAGUGGGAUCAAUACGAGCGUGAGGUGUUGGAGUUUGAGGAGGAAGCAUGGAAGACCUCCGCAAAAGGCGGGGAAUCUAGCACGGUCAAGCUGGCGGGUGAGGAGAGCUUCGGCGAGCACGAUCCAGCCGGCGCAGUCAUUAUCAACGAUGUACCAGCCUUCUUGAUAGCGUUGGCGGCGCUGAAAAGCUGGAGGAAUCAGAUACAGAGGAGAUGA